This 440-nucleotide ribosomal RNA is filed under the name uncultured bacterium. Its description in RNAcentral is "bacterial SSU rRNA". It matches the Rfam family "Bacterial small subunit ribosomal RNA", at positions 338 to 795 of the family's 1533-position model. The record is from RNAcentral.
CCUACGGGAGGCAGCAGUGGGGAAUAUUGGACAAUGGGCGCAAGCCUGAUCCAGCCAUGCCGCGUGAGUGACGAAGGUCUUCGGAUUGUAAAGCUCUUUUGGCGGGGAAGAUAAUGACGGUACCCGCAGAAUAAGCCCCGGCUAACUUCGUGCCAGCAGCCGCGGUAAUACGAAGGGGGCUAGCGUUGUUCGGAAUCACUGGGCGUAAAGCGCACGUAGGCGGAUGUGCCAGUCAGGGGUGAAAUCCCGGAGCUCAACUUCGGAACUGCCUCUGAUACAGCACGUCUUGAGUCCGGAAGAGGUGGGUGGAAUUCCUAGUGUAGAGGUGAAAUUCGUAGAUAUUAGGAAGAACACCGGUGGCGAAGGCGGCCCACUGGUCCGGUACUGACGCUGAGGUGCGAAAGCGUGGGGAGCAAACAGGAUUAGAUACCCGAGUAGUC